GCCUUGUGGUGUAAUGGUAGCACACCGGAUUCUGGUUCCGUUUGUGAGAGUUCGAGUCUUUCCAAGG
This 67-nucleotide transfer RNA is filed under the name Muribaculaceae bacterium. RNAcentral describes it as "tRNA-Gln". It matches the Rfam family "tRNA". From Rfam's summary of the family: Transfer RNA (tRNA) molecules are approximately 80 nucleotides in length. Their secondary structure includes four short double-helical elements and three loops (D, anti-codon, and T loops). The record is from RNAcentral. Lineage: Bacteria; Pseudomonadati; Bacteroidota; Bacteroidia; Bacteroidales; Muribaculaceae.